UUUCCAAACAAUAUUAACCUUUCCAAGUAAUACUUUUCAUACACAUCAGGAAUCAAAUAUUACCCGAUGGCAUCCUUUCCAAACAAUAUUAUCCUUUCCAAAUAAUACUGUCCAUACCCAACAGGAAUCAAAUCGCACCGCAAUCGAAAACAGAUAUACAACGCCAAUCAAUCUUUUCGUUCUUUCCAUCUUACACCUCCAAUGCCCAAAAAUAAAGCGACCAAUCAUAGUCUGUCCAUCACGCCUUCCAUAUACAACAACAAACCAAUUUUCAAAACGUUUCUGAGCGGGACGGGCAAGGCCUGUUUCUCCAUGCUUCCAGGUCUCGGUUUGGGAUCCUACCAGUUUGCCAUUCGAGCGGCUGGGCGAGGCAUGUUUCUUUCAAAGUUUUCCAUCGGAGCAGGAGGCACCGGUGCCGCCGCGGCUGCGAGCAACAGGUUAGCACCUACUGAUGUUCGACCGAGUUUAAACCACAGGGCAGUAAGCUGUGCACGCUUCACAAUUUGCAACUUUACCUUUGUUCGUGAGUGCCGCAACUGUUCUUAUGUAAGUAGUACCCCCAACUGUUCAUUAUAGCUCCAGCAAUGCGCACAUGGCCUUCUUACGUACGAGCGAGGCAUCGAGCUGUUAGAUUUAAGGAAUAAAAUGGUAUUAGAAUCACUGUAAAAGAGGUAAAUCUCUGCGAUUAGAAUCUAUACUCCCGUUCUUGAUAUGGAGAAAUGCAAGCUUCCAUUGUCACAAUUUUUAUAGGUGGCAGAGAGAGGGUGUAAAUCACUUUUUAGUAAAACACCGGUUUUGUUCUACAAUGCCAUAUGGAGAUAUACAGAAGUUCUCAACUGUUACUAAGAACUCUUUGAAAGCAGUAAGCAAUAAAUCAAAUGCCAGCUUCCAUAGUCACAGUUUUUAUAGAGGCAAAUGGAGGCAACAAAUAACCUCCUGCUCCGAUGGCAAACCAAUCUUCCAGGUCUCGCUUCCAUUGUCACAAUUUUUAUAGGUGGCAGAGAGAGGGUGUAAAUCGCUUUUUAGUAAAUCACUAGUUUUGUUCUAUAAUUUUUAUACGGAUGUUCUCAACUGUUACUACAUACUAUUUAAAAGCAGGAAGCAAUAAAUCAAAUGCAAGCUUCCAUUGUCACAAUUUUUAUAGAUGGCAGACAGGGCAUAAAUCACUUUUUAGUUACAGUGGUUCUCAAAUUAUGUAAAUCACUUUUUAGUAAAUAACCUUUUUAGUUCUACAAUGCCAUAUGGAGAUAUACAGUAGUUCUCAACUGUUUUCUAAAAACUCUUUCCUCAAAUAGUAUGCAAGGGGAUGAAAAGGUUACUGCCCUGUUCCGAUGAGCUCACAGAUUUUAUUGUGGCCCAUUAAAACUCCUUGAGCUUCUUGCUGUCAAGACUUCAUCAUUUCAAAAUUAUCUUCCAGACUUUGAUGUUUGUCUCUUCAAUGAACUAGGAACCCAGGUAGUGAUGCCUCGCUGGAGUAUUGGUGAGCAUGCGAUCGGUUUUCUGCAUGUUUUAUAACCUGAUGAGUGCAUUCAACAACAUAUAUCACUUCAGUACCAGAGGAAAAUCAGCAAAACUAAAAACUAUUUAAAAGCAGGAAGGAAUAAAUCCAACAUUUGUUGCAUAUAUAUGUUUAGUUAUCACAAAUAUUAAGGGUUUAAUCUCUGCCGCUUCCUUAGUGCUGAGUCAUGGGCUUUCCAAAUAGUUGAUAUUAAUGGGUCUGAGAUAUUGUAGGUUAAAGUAUGUUAAAUAUAGUAGAUGGUACUUGUUGAUCUGUUUUUCCAAUGACAGUUGUCUGUGACAAUGAUGUCCUCGAAUGACUUGACCCCGUUUGGUUCUCGGUGGGAAAGGGUGAAUCUUUAUAAGCAACACCUACAGCGACAAAUGGAGGCAACAAAUAACCUCCGACGCCCUCUUGGUGAUAUCACCAAUGUUGAUAUAUUCCCGAGCGAGGGUCCAGGUAUAUGGAAUUUGAACAAUAUUGGUUUUUAGUAAAUUGAUUUCAAGAUUGGUUUCUACUAAUUUGAAAAAUCCAUUUCGCAAGCCAUGGGAGUGCCCCACAACCAUCGAGCAUCAUGUUUAUUCGUGAAGCAACAAUACCAUCACCCUCAACCAUUGAACUCCCCAAAGGGAGUCCAGGUAUAACUCAUCAGCAAGGUUUAAAUGCCUCUGAUAUUGGUUUUUACUAAUUUGAAUAAUAUUUCAGAUGCCAUUACAUCUGACCCACAUCCGUCGAGCGGCCUGGUUAUACAUGAAGCUACAAUCCCCUCUGCUGAAACCAUAGAACUCCCCAAAGGGAGUCCAGGUAUAUCUCACGGUCCACUUGCUCGUAAUCUGGUUUGUUUUAUCAUUGAUAUAUUGUAGCCCUCAUGGUGCAUGAUUGUAGCGGUAAAUACGAUUAACCUGUAGUGAGAUCAUUUAUCUUGAAUGUUCUGGUUCGGAUGCUAAUGUGUAUAUAUAUGUGUACAAUAACGGAUCCAGCUACAAGGGCCCGGGAUGCCAAGAGCGCACGGAGAAGAGCAGCUUAUAAAAAGAAAAAAGAAGACGAAGGGUAUCAAGAACAGAUCGAUAAGUUGAACACACGCAGACAGGAAUCUUACCAGAAGAAGAAACAACAGGACACAAGAGAACAAAGAGAAAAUAUAAAUGCACAGAGGCGAGCAGCUUAUCAGAAGAAGACACAAGAGGACACAAGCACUGGUCAUGUCUUACCACAACAGCAAAGGGAUAUUAUAAAUGCAAAGAGGCGAGCCACUUACAAGGAGAAGAAGGAACAAAUAAACACGCAAAGAUGUGAGACAGAUCAAAAACAUCGAGAUAGCUUGACACCAGAGCAGAAAGGGGAGAUGAGUGCUCAGCGCCGACAACGGGAGAAAGCUACGCGGAACACCCCGUGUGCUGAAUCCAUUGCGAUGCCUCGUCCUGAUUUAGCAACCUCAGUUGCGGCAAGCACAUGCGGUCACCCCUUCAAAACUUACGGUAUUUCUUGCAUGUGUACUCCACAUCUUUUGUUCGUAUGCAUUAAACAAAUAUUUACUUGCUCCGUAUCGGUGCAGCCAUCUACAGUUGCAGUAUGGUGGACGAUAAUAUUGUCAUGUUGAAUCCUGCGCAACAAUCCCAUGGUGAACUAAUAGAUUAUGCUCCUACCGUCACGUCAUCCCCCACAUACAUUCGCAACACCGAAACCGAUGGUAGUUGUCCCAUCAACAACCAGCUUUCAUUUUUUAAUCAUUCAACAAUUAUUUAUGAUAAUUCAAAAAUGUUGCAGGUGCAUACAUAAGUAGAACCUUUGGUGACGGUGCUGUAGAUCGUGACCUCAUUGAAAAUGAUGAUCACCUAAAAAGUGUCGACCAGCAAACCAGUGAUCCGCUAACAAUAGCGGAUAGUGCAGCUGACGAGCAGAUGCAUGAGUCGAGAGCUCAGCUUAGGACGAGAGAGCGAGCUUGCAAAGGGAGGUAUGGUGGCGAAGAAGCAUCAAGAGAAAAUUGGCAAACGAAAAUCAUGUACGCAGGUGCCACGUGGUGAGAGGAAGGCUCUGCUAAAUCGUCGUAAUGCAAGCUUUGCAAGUAGGGUUAAGACCCCAACUGCCAGGACUAUCUUCAUACCGAAAAUGAGCUCAACGGGACAACCAACCAUACUUGAAGCACAUGGUGCCUCAACCUCAUCUAGCACGCCAGAGUACACGAUCAGGAGUGAAGGUAACACUCCCAUCCUUACUCUUCUUGUGUCCCUUGACACUGAACACUCAUUUAUUGAAUCGGCACCCGUGCAACCGACAUGGACGCUUACCUUAGUGGUCUCAUGAAUGAUAAUGCCAACCCUGACAACCUCUUCGACGAUGAGUAUUACCUGUUUGCUGGUGAAGGUAUGUACACCAGCUUGAGCAAGAUCCACACGUUGGGAGUAUCGCAUUAAUUAGAAACAUUGUUUGCGGGCUCGGUUGCUGAUGACAUGGAGCACGACGAAUUGGAAGACUCAAGUCACAAUACCUAUGUCAACCAUGAUCCCUUGGACUAUGUGUACUCAAACCUCCCCGACAGUACACACAUCCUCAAGCACGCCGCGAACUGCGACCACUGCAAGGCCAAGAAGUUUGUGUCCGAGGCCCCGGGAUUUUGCUGUCGCAAUGGGCAGAUUGAGCUGAAGCAACCGGAGCCCAUCCCGGAGCUAAUGAGGCCUUGGUCUAGCCAGGAUGCGGACUCUAGGCAUUUUCGAGAGAACAUACGGUUCUUCAACGACCACUUCUCCUUCACAACGCUCAGCGUCAGCCUGGAUGAAAGCUACACAAACAUGAAGUCUGGGGUGUACACCUUCCGGGCGCACGGCACCAUCUACCACGACGUUCAUUCCUUCGGGACAACAUCCCGUCCAGAGCAUCUAAAAUUGUACUUCUACGACGACGACCCAGGCCUAACCCAUCGCCAGCCUGCCACCAAGCAAUUAGAUCAGAAUGUCGUCAGAAAGUUAGUGGACAUACUCAAGGAAAACCCGUACUCCCAGCAAUUUAGGAGUUUGGGUGCCCACAGGGACAACCUCGACGAUUACAGGAUAGACCUCAACACGGACUAGAGACUAGAUCAAUGGAAGUAUAAUAGACCUCUAUCAUCGGAGGUCGCUGCAAUUUGGGUGGAGGGCACUGACCUAGCAAAGAGGUUCGAUCGUAGGAUUACACUUUGCGGGAAUGACAACCAGAGGCACAGUAUACAUGUGACGGCUGGCUCGUAUGACCCUCUCUCUUACCCACUCUUCUACCCAAGGGGGGAGCUCGGUUGGCACCCGAAACUUCCUAAACGUGAUGUCCCUUGGCCGGUUGUGCAACAACCAAGAGGUAGAGGUGAUGAUGAUGAUGAUGAUGAGGAGGAUGCAGGUAAGCCUUAUGCGUAUUUUGUCGUUGAGAUGAAUUGUAUACUUCUCAUAUGAAUCCUAAUGUCCUCGAUACUCAUCCAUGUGCAGAGGGGAAUAGCAGGUUAUGCGUCCCGGUUAGAGACUACUACUGUUACAUGCUCCAGACACAACCUGGGAUAUUCAAUCCCAUACUCUGUGGAGCACGAUUGCUCCAGCAAUGGGGGGUGGACAUGUACAUCAAGAUUGAGAGUUGUAGGUUGAAAUGGUACAGGAAGAACCAGACAAAGAUCCGUGCCGACCUGUAUAAAGGAGUUGUUGAUGCAAUUACAUCCGGGGAGACCCGGGCAAGCGCUGUUGGAGUAAGGAUAGUGCUCCCUGGAACGUACCCAGGUGGCACCGCGACAUGAAGCGGAGGCAUAUGGAUGACAUGGCAAUUGUCCAUACCCACGGGAAGCCUGACAUCUUCUUGACCAUGACCUGCAACCCUAACUGGGAAGAGAUAACAAAUGAGUUGUUUCCUGGUCAGACAACGCAAGACCGGCCUGAUCGUGUGGCUCGUGUGUUCCAUGGAAAGCUAGAAGCUAUGAAACACAUGUUGUUCAAGAAGAAUAUCCUGGGUGUUGUUGUCGCACAUGUAUAUGUAGUCGAGUUUCAAAAGAGGGGCCUCCCCCACGCACACUUUUUGUUGAUCAUGGAUUCUGCCUAUAAGCUUGUCAUUCCGGAGCAGUACGACCGACUCAUUUAUGCCGAGCUCCCAGACAAGCAAAAGUAUCCUGAACUCCACGCCUUGGUGGUGAAACAUAUGAUGCACGGACCAUGCGGUGCUCUCAACCCCCAAAAUGUUUGCAUGCAACAAAACGAGUGCAAGUGCAGAUACCCGCGGCCAUUCAAUGAAAACACGACACAGGGCAAGGACUCAUACCCUGUUUAUCGUCGUCGAGAUAAUGGUCGGCAGGCUAAGGUCCGGGGUAAAAUGUUGGACAACAGAUGGGUUGUGCCGUAUAACCCUUACCUUCUGCGUAUGUUCAAUUGCCAUAUCAACGUUGAGGUUUGCUCCGGCAUAAAGGCCGUUAAAUACCUUUACAAGUACAUAUGCAAGGGCCAUGAUAGGGCUUCUUUCAGCAUCGACCAGCCAGACGCCGAUGGUAACAUUGAUGAGAUCAAAAGAUACAUAGACGCGAGGUGGGUUACUCCUCCGGAGGCGAUGUGGAGGAUAUUUGGCUUUUCCUUGUGUGCCAAUGACCCGUCUGUCCUACAGUUGCCUCUUCAUCUCCCGAAUAUGCACAGGGUGGCAUUCAAUGAGCAAACUCACUUGACCGGCGUAGUCGCCUCUGAGAAAGCUUCCAAAUCCAUGUUGACAGAGUAUUUCAAAGCUAACCAAAACCAUCCGUGGGCUAGGAAUAUAUUUUACAAGGAUUUUCCUGGAAGGUUCACAUGGUAGAAGGGUAAGAAGUAUUGGAAAGGGCGGGUGGAGCGUUAUCAGAUAGGUCGAAUUGUGUCUGCCAAUCCUGCCGAGGGGGAGUGAUACUAUCUGCGUGUGCUGCUAAACCAUGUUGCUGGCAAGACAUCCUAUGAGGACCUGCUCACCGUGGACGGUAGGCUAUGCGGGAGCUUUAGAGAGGUUACCGAAAGGUUGGGACUCAUCGAGGCAGAUAACACGCUCGACGAUUGUCUUACCGAGGCAGAGCAGUGGGCGAUGCCAUGUUCGCUCAGGAGGCUCUGCACAACAAUUUUGGUGCACUAUGAGCCAGGCGACGUGCGUGGUUUAUGGGAUAGGCACUUCGAGCCUAUGUCGGAUGACUACCGACGAUCACACAUGUGUCCGAUUGAGGCGGAACAGAUGGUGUUGCUUGACAUUAGGGGUACGUUGCAGUCCAUGGGCAAAGACAUAGCUGAUUUUGCUCUUCCAUGCAUUGAUGAUGAGUUCGACCCAAAUGAGGGUGAGGCCAGAGAAGUGAUCGAGGAAUCCAACAUCGAUUUUGACAUCAACGACACUAAAUUGGCAUUGCCGCUAAACUUGGAGCAGAGGGUUGCAUAUGACGAGAUACUAGCUGCUGUUGAACGCGGUGAUGGGGGUGUGUUCUUUGUUGAUGGCCCGGGAGGUACAGGGAAGACCUUCCUGUACAGGGCAUUGCUCGCCAAGGUUCGAAGCGAUGGAAACAUCGCUAUCGCUACCGCGACGUCAGGCGUCGCCGCUUCUAUCAUGCCUGGAGGCAGGACUGCCCACUCGAGGUUCAAGAUCCCAUUGAGCUGCGACGAUGGCGCCUCAUGCACCUUCACGAAGCAGAGUGGUACUGCCAAGCUACUAAGGAUGGCCUCAUUGAUACUAUGGGACGAGGCCACCAUGACUAAGCGACAGGAGGUCGAGGCACUCGACAACAGCAUGCGUGACAUCAUGGGAAGACGGGACCGACCCUUUGGAGGAAAAACUGUUGUGUUUGGCGAGGACUUCAGGCAGGUGCCCAGUCGUCAGGAGGGGGUCCCGGGGUCAGAUAAUCGAUGCAACCCUCUGAAGUUCACAUCUCUGGAAAUGUAUAAGCCAGCUAAGGCUCGUCACCAACAUGAGGGCUCAUAAUGACACCUGGUUUGCGGAUUACUUGCUAAGGGUAAGCAAUGGUACCGAGGAAGUUGACGAUCAAGGAAACAUACGACUCCCUGAAGGUAUUUGUGUGCCGUCUACAGGCGAGGGUGACGACCUGAAGAAGCCGAUUGACCAUGUGUUUCCAAGACUAGAUGACAACAUGUCUGAUCCGAAUUACAUGACUUCACGCGCAAACCUCUCCACCACGAAUGACAAUGUCGACAAGAUAAACAUACACAUGGUAGAGCGUUUUCGGGGAGAAGAAGUAAUCUACCAUAGCUUUGACAGUGCAGAAGACGACCCAUAUGGCUACUACGCUCUCGAGUUCCUAAAUGGAUUGACUCCCAACGGUCUGCCUCCGCAUGCACUCAAACUAAAGCUCAACUGCCCUGUCAUACUUCUAAGGAACAUUGAUCCGGCUAAUGGUCUAUGUAACGGGACGAGGCUUGUGGUGCGAGGUUUCGAGAGGAACGCCAUCGACGCAGAAAUCGUGAUCGGACAACACGCAGGUAGGAGGGUAUUCCUUGCUCGAAUACCCCUAUGCCCGUCUGACAAUGACAUGUUUCCAUUCAAGUUCAAGAGGAAGCAAUUUCCUGUAAGGCUUAGCUUUGCUAUGACGAUUAACAAGGCACAAGGACAGACGAUUCCGAUUGUUGGCGUGUACCUACCUAAUCCGGUGUUUUCUCAUGGUCAACUCUAUGUUGCAUUGUCUCGAGCCACCGCGAAGAGAAAUAUAAAGAUCCUCAUUGAGAAGGAGAAGGACAAGGAGAAUGGCAAGAAGCAAAGCAGUAAAUCAAAGAAGCGAAAAAGACCUACCUUGUCCUUACAAACCUCGAUGAAGAACAUCGUCUAUAAGGAAGUCCUUACAGGCUGAAGUCCGCUCUUAAAUAUGACAGAGGAUUUACUCUUAUGCUACAGAUAAGUUGGUGCUCUUCGGUGUUCUUGUACAGAUAUCUUAUCUUUCUAUGUUAGCAAUCGAACCUUAUUAUGUUUAUACAACAAGUCAAAUAUUAAUAAUAUUGCCUCGGAUUUGUGACUUUGCAAGUUGCCAAUUUUUGCUGUAUGUGACAUUAUUUUCCCUUUUGCUGGAUUGCUUAAGUAGAUUAUUCGGUGUCUUACCCCGCGGUGCCGGAGGCGUCCGUCCUACUUGGUUUCCUCCUCCCAUCCCACCCCCCUGAUAAACGUGGUUUCCUCCUCCCCACGGCCCGGCUUCCCCACCCCCCUGAUCAAAUUGGUUUCCUCCCAUCCCAGGCCCUCCCUCCCCACCCCCCUGCUCAAAUUGAUUUCCUCCAACUCCUGGCGCCCCCCGUGCCCCCUCACCAAAGCCACCAAAUGCAUGCCCUGAUCCUGAUGCCAUCACAACGUAUGUCAAAACGGGCAUCCACUUACAAAAUAUAAGAACUAUAACNNNNNNNNNNNNNNNNNNNNNNNNNNNNNNNNNNNNNNNNNNNNNNNNNNNNNNNNNNNNNNNNNNNNNNNNNNNNNNNNNNNNNNNNNNNNNNNNNNNNAAGAAAAAUAAAAAUGCUAAUGGUGGCAAAUCACAUAUUUCAAGGAGGAUUCCAACACGUAAAUCCUCUAAUUUGUCCUAAACGAAAUGUUUGACUACAUAUUAAAUCCCUUAACUCUUCUACAACAUGGUUUAAAUUGCAAGGUCAGUACGGAGAUGUGAGAUUGGCAUGUAUACCCGCAUUUCUCGUAUCACUAAAUGAGCCCUGUAAACACAAAUGGAGUGGGCAGCCCGAAUGUGCAUACAUCGCCAUUGAUCAUACAUGAAUAGCAUGUGUGCCGGUCACCGGGGUUGCCUCCUGAUCGAAUUCGAUAGGUUCAUUUUCUUUACAGCCGAACUAACUCCAUUUCCAUUAAUUGCUUAUGAAAAAUAACCAUCAUACAAGCUGCAAAAAAGGAGGGAUGGGGGAAUAACAAAAAUAUUAAAGAGGCUUGCGAGUUUAAUCACUAGUAAGAAACCCACCGUGAAUGUUUGCUCAUGAACAACCACACUAUGGGGCAAAAACCUACUAGCGCAAGAUAAAAAUGUUUAAAAAGUUGGGGAUCACGGUGCAAAUUACAUUCAAAAGCAACACUUGCUCGAGUGAUAGAAGCAUCAUUUCCAAGCAACCUCCAGAAUGACCAGCAGCAAUCAGCUUCCAGUAACAGCCGGCGGCGCCAGAUCAAGGCCAUGCAUGGCAAUAACCAUCAAAUCACCUGUGGUACCACGGUGCCUUGCCCCGCGGCGGAGGAGGCAUCCGUCCUACAUGGCUUCCUUGUGUAACCCCUGACGACCCGUCGUCGGACCACUUACCAUGCUUUCCUCCUCCCCCCGGCCUUGCCUCCCCAAGCCCUUGAGCAAAUUGGUUUCCUCCUUGUUCCCUCGGCAUGUGCCAAGACCCGUCACGAAGAUCACUAAAUGAAUAGCCUCCUGGCGCUUGUCCGCCACCCCCCUGAUCUAAUUGGUUUCCUCCCCUUGGCCCGGCCUCAGCCCCCUGACCAAAGUCGCCAAAUGCACGCCCUGAUGCCAUAGCAACAAAUUAUAUGCCAAAAAUGUGCACCCACUUCCAAAAUAUAAGAAUUAGAACGGACGCGUGGUUGCGUACCUUUGCAAACAGCAGAGCAUGGGCAUGGCAGCAGGGAGCAGCAGCAGGCGAACACCAGGGUGAUUGCCAUGGCGCGUGUGAGCGAGGACAGAGAAGAAGAUGACCGCCUCAUUGUCGAUAGGACGAUCCUGCCUUCCUAGCUUCAGCUCUGAAGAAAUGAUUUGAUCUCUCUUUGUGGCCGGGUUACUCCUCUUAGUUAAGUAGUGCCCUAAGUGCAACAACAAGUGUGUCAAGUCAACAGAUUGUCUGAAAAUCUAGAUUAACCUAAUGUAAUCACGAUCAAGUGUAGCUAAAUAGAUGCUCGGAGCCCCAAGUCAAGUCAAGUGCUCAAAGUCGUCCAUGCCAACACUUAAUCUCUGUUGUCAAUGCAUCUUAAUCACGGUUGCAGGCUUGAAACAGUCAGGCAAAGCUGCUGGCAACUGUAACAUACAAUUCGUACAAGUUGCUACUGCCAGCUGAGCAGUUGUACUGGAGAUGCUCACCGAUAAGCAGAGCAGCGUGGCAGUUCACCGAUAAGCAAAAUGGGCAUCGGAAUUUCAAUAAGAAAAUCAGAGUGCCGCAGCAGAAGCGUAGUGGGCCCAUAAUGCAUAGGUCCAAACCUGGCUCUGGUAAUAUUUUCCACAUUGGGCUGAACUUUUUUUUUCUGGGCUGCGAUAUUUUAUUCGUUGUUCAACCAAUUUUCAUAUUCAUGAGUUCUGAACUGGACUUCAGUUUUUCGUGUGGUCCAUUUCGAUUUUGUAGGAUUGUUUGGCCCGUUUCUUCUAAUCAUGCAUCUUUCGAACAUUCUUAACCUGAAAAGGAGGUCUUGGAUCAAUCUGUUUGACUUUUUUUUCUGGCUAUUGUAGAUUCUUCUUACGGUGACAUUGUAGAAAUUUUCAAGCCGUGCAUUUGUCGUUUCGUCCAUGAAUAAGUAUACAUCUACCAUAUGGUACAACAAAUUGCUUUUCUUUCCCCUCUCGCAAGGCGACUAGGGAAAGCCUUUCUCCCCUCGAUUUUCGCCUGCAAGCCCGUGGAUCCACCUACACUCUGCCUGCCGCUCAGACUGCCGAUGGCGGGAAGAGGACCUUGUCCCUCGGCUCCGGCUAGUUGAUAGAUAGGGUUUUGGUUCUUCUUUUUUCAUGCUUAAAUAUCCCACGAGGUGCUUCAGAAGAGCAUAAAAUCCUUCUAAGAAUAAGAAAGAAGGUACAAAACAAAUGGAAAUGUGUGAUAUGCCAUGAAUAGUUCCGUGGCGAUGUAAGAUAGAAAGAACGGGGAGUUAGGCCUUCGGUUUCCUCUGUAGCCAUUUUCCGACAUGCGGAUUCACUUCUCUGUUCAGACGGACGGCGGUGCUUCUUCAUCGAUAUAGUCUUCCAGGCUCCGAUCCUCCUCAAGUUCGUCCAUUAGGACGAAUUACAUAGAGCUCUGAUGUAGAUUCCUGUCAGCUCCUCGGGGCGGCAGGUUUAGGUUUCUUGUCGUGCGUACACAAAGAUUUGGUGUCAGGUUCUUCAGGUCGAUUCAAGGAUUCAAUGCCAACGACUUCGUCUCUAGGGCCCUGGUCUAGGGAUGGCACCCGCAUGGUUUGGGUACGGGUAGAGCCACCCCAUACCCUUACCCAUCCCAUUUGAUCUUACCCAUCAUCCGUACCGUAUCCACUAGUGGGAACAAUUUAUGUUCAUACCCGUCAGGUAAAUGGGUACCAACGAGUAAAAAUACCCACGUUUGAAUAACAUUAAUUUGAGCAUCACAUAAUUAUAAACAACAACAUAUAAUCACAAUUUAUAAACAACAAACAUAAUAACAUCAAUACAUACUUAUAAACAACAUCCUAUGAAAAUCAGCACUUUCUUGUAAACAACAACACAUCAAAACAACAACACAUAGUCAUAAGCAGUAGCACAUAGUCAUACAUUUAAGUUCAAAACUCACGACAAAGUGUACAGGUAAUUUGUCAAUAUUCGUUAGAUUUUAUAAGGAUACAUGGGUAUGCGGGUGAGGGUUAUGUGAUCUCAUACCCUACCCGCUCUCCCCGAUGGGUUUGAGAUUUGCCUAUUUUCUUUACCCAUGGGCAACGUUUUGUCUCAUGCCCUUACCCUAAUAGUAUUUUUACCCGCAGGAUACAUGGGUAUUGGGUACCCAUUUGCCAUCCCUACAUUGGUCCUUAGGGGUACGUGCACGAAGACUUCAUGGUUGUCAUCGAUAAGAUCAGGUCUACUUCAGUAUGGGAGCGGUGACAGUGGCAUCCGCGGCUCGUUCUGGCGGCGGCAAAGGUCAUUCGUUGAUCCAUGGACCUUGAUGUACUUUUUUUUAUUAUGUUCAUGCUACUUUGUGCUUCCGGUGAAUCUUUAUUUUAGUAUGAACCUUUUCGCAUAGAAAUCGUAUGUCAUACAAUAAAAUUACAAAAAUUACAUUUAAUUUGCACAUUGACAAGCGAAAGAAGAAGGUCCAUUAUACUGUGAACAAAAAUCAACUUCAAAUUUUGUCGAGCUGACUGACUGUUUUUUUUCUUUUUUUAGUCAACUACACCGGGCAAAAGCCAACCUGAACAUAUUUUUCAUCUUUUGAAAAACAGAGCAGGAUCAGACACCGUUGGAUCAGUAGAAAGGAGACCGGCCACCAAGAAGAUAUACAGAAGAAGACACCAGCUUGCCGAGUCACUGGGAUAGCCUUACUGGCUUGCUUGGUUUUACAACCGAGCUAAACCCAUUUUCUCUACUCCUAAUGUCUCAGUCCAUACGUAGUUUCGUUCGCUCGUACCCUCCCCCUCCCAUCGAACGAGAGGCCACCCCUCGACCCCAUCCCACUUCCACCGUUUUUUUUAUUAACCGAGACAAUCCCCAAAUAAACCCCACAAUGGCCGAACAAUAUUAACCGAUGGCAUUCUUUCCAAACAAUAUUAACCUUUCCAAGUAAUACUUUUCAUACACAUCAGGAAUCAAAUAUUACCCGAUGGCAUCCUUUCCAAACAAUAUUAUCCUUUCCAAAUAAUACUGUCCAUACCCAACAGGAAUCAAAUCGCACCGCAAUCGAAAACAGAUAUACAACGCCAAUCAAUCUUUUCGUUCUUUCCAUCUUACACCUCCAAUGCCCAAAAAUAAAGCGACCAAUCAUAGUCUGUCCAUCACGCCUUCCAUAUACAACAACAAACCAAUUUUCAAAACGUUUCUGAGCGGGACGGGCAAGGCCUGUUUCUCCAUGCUUCCAGGUCUCGGUUUGGGAUCCUACCAGUUUGCCAUUCGAGCGGCUGGGCGAGGCAUGUUUCUUUCAAAGUUUUCCAUCGGAGCAGGAGGCACCGGUGCCGCCGCGGCUGCGAGCAACAGGUUAGCACCUACUGAUGUUCGACCGAGUUUAAACCACAGGGCAGUAAGCUGUGCACGCUUCACAAUUUGCAACUUUACCUUUGUUCGUGAGUGCCGCAACUGUUCUUAUGUAAGUAGUACCCCCAACUGUUCAUUAUAGCUCCAGCAAUGCGCACAUGGCCUUCUUACGUACGAGCGAGGCAUCGAGCUGUUAGAUUUAAGGAAUAAAAUGGUAUUAGAAUCACUGUAAAAGAGGUAAAUCUCUGCGAUUAGAAUCUAUACUCCCGUUCUUGAUAUGGAGAAAUGCAAGCUUCCAUUGUCACAAUUUUUAUAGGUGGCAGAGAGAGGGUGUAAAUCACUUUUUAGUAAAACACCGGUUUUGUUCUACAAUGCCAUAUGGAGAUAUACAGAAGUUCUCAACUGUUACUAAGAACUCUUUGAAAGCAGUAAG
RNAcentral lists this long non-coding RNA (13740 nucleotides) under Triticum aestivum (bread wheat). Its description in RNAcentral is "long non-coding RNA (TAES_LNC018953)". The record is from RNAcentral. Lineage: Eukaryota; Viridiplantae; Streptophyta; Magnoliopsida; Poales; Poaceae.